GAGAAAUGCAGGAAGGAGGUGUGUUAUGG
RNAcentral lists this non-coding RNA (29 nucleotides) under Homo sapiens (human). Lineage: Eukaryota; Metazoa; Chordata; Mammalia; Primates; Hominidae. The record is from RNAcentral.